GUGGUCACUUCAGCAGCUCACACACUAAAAUCGGAACAAUACAGAAAGAUUAACACGACCCUUGCUCAAGGAUGACUUGUAAACUCAUGAAGCAUUCCGUGUGUGU
This 106-nucleotide small nuclear RNA is filed under the name Neotoma lepida (desert woodrat). Lineage: Eukaryota; Metazoa; Chordata; Mammalia; Rodentia; Cricetidae. The record is from RNAcentral.